Molecule: ribosomal RNA, 486 nt
Filed under: Triticum aestivum (bread wheat)
Lineage: Eukaryota; Viridiplantae; Streptophyta; Magnoliopsida; Poales; Poaceae
Description: partial small subunit ribosomal RNA
Source: RNAcentral
AUGGUUAUAACAGGAGGAGAUGCGGAUGGCAAUGAAGGAGAUCGUUCUGGAAGUCAGUCGCUUCGCCGGAACUCGAAUCAUCCUGCUAAUCGCCAGCCACGACCUGCGCAGAGUGUUGAGCAGGGAGAGGAUGUUGAGGAUGCUGAUCAGUUCCGUGUUGUAAAGCGGAUUAGACGUGCAUCACUUGGCAAGGGAGCUGAGUCAUCUUCUAGGGCAGUAGUUGCUGGAGAAGCUGUCGCAUCUUCCGCAGCAGAUGCUGAGGGUAGCGGUGAAGGAGUUGAGGUGGCUCCAGGGGAAGAUGUGGAGCGACCAUCACAAGCAGGCAGGAUAAGGGCAUCACCAGCGCGCUUUGCAAAUUUCAACGCCUCUCUAUCCGUACUACAGAAGUCAGAGCUAGUUUCGAGGUUGUUCGGGGGGCUAUUGAACUUAUCAGACACACUUCCAGCGGACCUCACUAAGUUCCUGGUGCAGUCCUACCAGACAUAG